AAAAAGACAAACCUUGGGUUUCUGUGUCCGUCUUAUAUGAAAGUUUUUUAUAAUUAGUAUUUUUAUUGUUGUUAGAUGAUAAAACAUGAUUAAUACUUUAUACGUGACUUAUCUUUUUAAUUUUUUUUCAUAUUAUUUUCAAAUAAGACGGACGGUCAAACGUUGGACACGGAAACCCAGGGUU
This 184-nucleotide microRNA precursor is filed under the name Oryza rufipogon (brownbeard rice). RNAcentral describes it as "MIR812 microRNA precursor family". It matches the Rfam family "MIR812 microRNA precursor family". The record is from Rfam by way of RNAcentral. Lineage: Eukaryota; Viridiplantae; Streptophyta; Magnoliopsida; Poales; Poaceae.